Molecule: ribosomal RNA, 733 nt
Filed under: uncultured bacterium
Lineage: Bacteria
Description: bacterial SSU rRNA
Rfam family: Bacterial small subunit ribosomal RNA
Source: RNAcentral
GCUUAUACNUGCAGUCGAGCGGUCUCUUUCGGGAGACAGCGGCGGACGGGUUAGUAACGCGUGGGAACGUGCCCUUUAGUACGGAAUAGCCAUUGGAAACGAUGAUUAAUACCGUAUACGCCCUAUGGGGGAAAGAUUUAUCGCUAAAGGAUCGGCCCGCGUUAGAUUAGGUUGUUGGUGGGGUAAUGGCCUACCAAGCCUACGAUCUAUAGCUGGUUUGAGAGGAUGAUCAGCAACACUGGGACUGAGACACGGCCCAGACUUCUACGGAAGGCAGCAGUAGGGAAUCUUGGACAAUGGGCGAAAGCCUGAUCCAGCCAUGCCGCGUGAGUGAUGAAGGCCCUAGGGUUGUAAAACUCUUUCGCCAGGGAAGAUAAUGACGGUACCUGGUAAAGAAACCCCGGCUAACUCCGUGCCAGCAGCCGCGGUAAUACGGAGGGGGUUAGCGUUGUUCGGAAUUACUGGGCGUAAAGCGCACGUAGGCGGACUAGUCAGUCAGAGGUGAAAUCCCGAGGCUCAACCUCGGAACUGCCUUUGAUACUGCUAGUCUAGAGUUCGAGAGAGGUGAGUGGAAUUCCGAGUGUAGAGGUGAAAUUCGUAGAUAUUCGGAGGAACACCAGUGGCGAAGGCGGCUCACUGGAUCGAUACUGACGCUGANGUGCGAAAGCGUGGGGAGCAAACAGGAUUAGAUACCCUGGUAGUCCACGCCGUAAACGAUGAGAGCUAGUCGUCG